UGGGGAAUUUUGGACAAUGGGCGCAAGCCUGAUCCAGCAAUGCCGCGUGCAGGAUGAAGGCCUUCGGGUUGUAAACUGCUUUUGUACGGAACGAAAAGCCUCUCUCUAAUACAGGGGGGUGAUGACGGUACCGUAAGAAUAAGCACCGGCUAACUACGUGCCAGCAGCCGCGGUAAUACGUAGGGUGCAAGCGUUAAUCGGAAUUACUGGGCGUAAAGCGUGCGCAGGCGGUUUUGUAAGACAGUGGUGAAAUCCCCGGGCUCAACCUGGGAACUGCCAUUGUGACUGCAAGGCUGGAGUGCGGCAGAGGGGGAUGGAAUUCCGCGUGUAGCAGUGAAAUGCGUAGAUAUGCGGAGGAACACCGAUGGCGAAGGCAAUCCCCUGGGCCUGCACUGACGCUCAUGCACGAAAGCGUGGGGAGCAAACAGGAUUAGAUACCCUGGUAGUCCACGCCCUAAAACGAUGUCAACUGGUUGUUGGGGAUUUAUUUCUUCAGUAACGAAGCU
Molecule: ribosomal RNA, 506 nt
Filed under: uncultured bacterium
Lineage: Bacteria
Description: partial 16S ribosomal RNA
Rfam family: Bacterial small subunit ribosomal RNA
Source: RNAcentral